AUGAGAAAACUUUCCCUUUCAUCUAAUAUUCAAGGUAUAUAUAGGCAGAGUAUGGUGUAUAAAUCAAACACAGCUUUCCUUGAACCCAAAAUGUCGUUGCUCUAUAUCUUUUUGGUGAGUUGCUGCUUACCUGGCUCAAUGGGAGGUGCUGUAGAAGAAUUUCAAGAAAACCUCAAGGCUCUAGUGGCUCUAGCAAACAAAGAGAUCUUUCUUCCAGUACCCAAGGGGAAAUUUCAGUGCAGUCAUGUUCCCUGUCAACUUGAACGAACCAUAGAAGGACUGAAAGUUUCCUUUAAGAAUAAUUCAGCAGGAACCCAUAUUUCUCUGAUGGAGAAAAACAUGGAUCACAUUACAUCAACUUUAAAGAAAACACAUAUACAACCAGAGAACACCAUAUCCUGUCUGAUAAGGUACCUGCCUCGACAGAGAGCCCUGAACCACUUCACAAAAUAUUUCCAGAGCAUGCAUGAGAACUGCUGGGAGUCCUGAUAACAGGUGUUGGCACCCCAAAUACUUGGAGACAACUCUUACCCAACACUAGAGCUGAUUCUGAUGGAAGACAGACCACCACAAAGAGACACCACAAAGAGUUAACAUGAAUGUUUAAUAUAUGAAUUAUUAACCUAUUUAUUUAAUUUAUAGAGAACCUUUAUAUUUUUACCCUAAUGUUCAAUGUAACCAUGAAUAAAAUAACUUAAAAUAUUACA
RNAcentral lists this long non-coding RNA (707 nucleotides) under Cyanistes caeruleus (blue tit). RNAcentral's name for it is "lncRNA (ENSCCEG00000011110.1)". Lineage: Eukaryota; Metazoa; Chordata; Aves; Passeriformes; Paridae. The record is from RNAcentral.